This 116-nucleotide small nucleolar RNA is filed under the name Dasypus novemcinctus (nine-banded armadillo). RNAcentral describes it as "Small nucleolar RNA SNORA31 (ENSDNOG00000029848.1)". The record is from RNAcentral. Lineage: Eukaryota; Metazoa; Chordata; Mammalia; Cingulata; Dasypodidae.
AAUGCUUCUCUGACAGACCUCAAGCAGUAAAUAUCUGCUGCUGAGGUUUCCACUACAGACAUAAGAAAGUGAAGGUCCUUAUGCUUUCUGUCAAGAUUGAAAGGAGGAAUACAGGA